GAGGUUGUGGCUCAGUUGGUAGAGCAUUUGCCUAGCAUGCAGAAAGCCCUGGGUUCGAUCACCAACACCCUAU
RNAcentral lists this transfer RNA (73 nucleotides) under Cricetulus griseus (Chinese hamster). It matches the Rfam family "tRNA". Rfam says of the family: Transfer RNA (tRNA) molecules are approximately 80 nucleotides in length. Their secondary structure includes four short double-helical elements and three loops (D, anti-codon, and T loops). The record is from Rfam by way of RNAcentral. Lineage: Eukaryota; Metazoa; Chordata; Mammalia; Rodentia; Cricetidae.